Euleptes europaea (tarantolino) is the source of this 103-nucleotide small nuclear RNA. The record is from RefSeq and is a predicted model, not a curated record. Lineage: Eukaryota; Metazoa; Chordata; Lepidosauria; Squamata; Sphaerodactylidae.
AUUCCAAUUUUAGUAUAUGUGCAAAAUUGGAACGAUACAGAGAAGAUUAGCAUGGCCCCUGCACAAGGAUGACAUGCACAUUCGUGAAGCGUAAGAAACAAGA